RNAcentral lists this unclassified non-coding RNA (3091 nucleotides) under Daphnia pulicaria. Its description in RNAcentral is "uncharacterized LOC124349777, transcript variant X1". Lineage: Eukaryota; Metazoa; Arthropoda; Branchiopoda; Diplostraca; Daphniidae. The record is from RNAcentral.
UUCACAAUUCAGUAUUGUUCUCGAACUCGAAGCCUCGAUAGAACAGUCGGUAGUUUAAUGUUUAUCAUUGUGUGCUCACUGUUCGUGAAAGAUUAAACUCAAAUUCAUUAUUUUCUGAGAAAAGUAUUCGUAGAACUAAGUUAUUUUUCAUAACAAUCAAGGAUGUCGCACAGAGCAUUUACGCCAUGUUCUCCUUCGAUGGCUCACUAUCCAUAUUCUCCAUCUUCUAAUUAUGGUUUUCCAGUGGACAAUUAUAGUGAUUCAAAUGCUCCCAACUAUCCUCAUCCUGAUGCCUCAUUUGCCGAUCUGCAAGCAUUCUGCAACAGGAGUAGAAAUUCUACAGCAGGAAGUGCAUAUGCUCCAUCUCUUCCGGACUCGGAUGUACAAUCUCAGUACUUUGUAGCAGAUUUGGUAACAACCAAUGAUGCUUACUUUCCCAGGAGUAGGAACUCCAUGGCAGGAAGUCUUGCUAACUCCCUUCCGGAUUUUGACACAUCACAAUACGAAACCAAUGAUGACGGCGUUGAUUACGGCUACGUACCUGUGGGCAACGAAAAUGGCGGUGAAGAUGAGGACGAUGAUGAUGGAGCGGAUUGGUUUGACAUGGAAGCUCUGACUGGUUUAAGCAUCGAUGAAUUAGACGAGAAUGGUUUGGGCGAUCCUUCAUGGAGGUUUGAAUUCCCUCUACCUAUGCUACCCGUCGUGCCUGUGUUGGAAUUGAAGACGGAAAUAUAUGAUGGCCAAACAUUUUACGUUGAUGAUGAAGGGUAUGUACAAGCAUAUACCCAAGGAGAGUGUCGAGUUCCUUUCACUGGAAAAGCAUCCAUCGGAGUUUGGUUUGGACCAAACCACCAAGCGAAUGUAAGCGAACGUCUUCAUCGCGGUCGGCGAACUCAAGAAGCAGCUCGGUUUGCUGCAGUAAUUGAAGCCAUUAGAGUAGCUGGAGCCCACGGGAUUAAAAAAUUGCAGAUCAAUACGGAUUAUGAAAAUAUAAUCCGUUUCAUGAUUUACUUCAUCUUGAAGUGGGAGCAAAAUGACUGGAUGACAUUGAGAGGACAUCAUGUCAAGAACAAAGUGGUGAUUCUGGAAUUAGACUACUUUUCACGACUUCUUGAUAUUAAAUGGAAUUAUGUCCCCUACUACGAGGGUGCCGAAGGCAAUUUGGAAGCAGCUCAUCUUGCACUGGAGGCUCAUGAUCUGCAAUUACCACAAGUGAGAAAAACUGCAGAAGAGAUGGAGAUGGACGUUGUUCAGGAUGAGCAACCUAAAGGAUCAACUUCAAACGAAGAGGUUACGAAAAAGCGACGGUUUGUUCCUAUUGUGUAUUAAGUUCUGUGUUUCGGUUAUCGUUGGAUGCCCGAAAUUGUUUCUUCGUUUUAGAAACAUUGUGUGCUCCAAUGUUAACAAUUAUUUGCUAAUUUAAAUCCAGCCUAACCAAUCCUGGUUAAUUCGUAAUCAUUAAGCGUCUGGUAACAGUUUAUAUUAACCAAGAAAUUGUUUUUGUUAUUAUUUUUGAAAAAAUACGUGAAUACCCAACAGAAGAAUUGCUGUAAUCUUCAUUACCUUAUCAGUCUUUCUAUAGGGAUAUAGUCGUUAAAGUUCCGCCUUCUUGUUUUUGGCCGUCUUUUUAGUUAAACAUCAACAGAAUAUUAUUGACGUUUACUACGCCUACCUCAAAAAUCUCUAUUAAAGGGUCUGUAAAGCCAAAUCAUUGACAGACUGCAAUCCCACUUUCACAUCAUCUAUAAGAAACAUCAUCCAACUCAUCCAGAAUUUAACCUGUCAACAGUAUUGUUACUGAAAGAAAAAUGUGUAACGCCAGUUCCAAUGUUAAGGUAGAAGAAUUACGAAUUGGAUUGUUUCGUGUGCACUGGGAUUUAGAAAAGAAUAUGCGAAAGGAAUGCGGUUUCUUCAAAAAUAAGCUUCAUUUGCAUGGAUCCCAGUCUGGCCGAAUUUACAACAUCAUCUAUAUAUUUGAAUCACAACAUUUUGAUGCACUCUACCCUUACAACUUCGGUAUUCAACUCGAAGAGAUAUCGUGCAUUUGUGAUUCCAGCGUUGCUGAAACUAAUGAAUCUGCUGCGAAAUAUCAGCAAGAGGCAGAACGCCAAAAGCUUGACGAUACUUCAUUUCUCCCCACAGAGACUGAAAGAAAAAACGUACCUCCAGUUCGUGUGUGGUUUGAAUUUGAAGAGGCUAAUACCACCACUGGCUUAGAAUUGGAGUACGACAAGGAUGCUAAUCACUGGAAAGUUUAUUUUUUCGGUCAAAGACAACCGUUUGGUAUUACAUUGUUUAUGGAUUUUGGGACCAAGGAAAUGGACGAGAAAAUAAUCAUUAACGGACUAGAGGGAAUGUUUGUCACCCAAACUCUUUGUGACGUCCAUUUCCAGUUUAAAGACGGACAAUCUGUUGGUGCCCACAUCCUAAUCCUUUCGGCCGGAAGUCCCGUUUUUUCAGCCAUGUUCCAGUCAGGGCUUUUAGAAUCAAAAUCCCGAAUAGUGGACAUCGACGACAUUGAAUUUGAUGUGUUCCGGCAACUGCUCAUCUAUUUGUAUACAGGAAUGGCUCCCAAAGUGACAGAGGAAUCCAUCACUCAGUUGCUCUUCGUGGCGUCUGAUAAAUACGGCGUGGAAGCUCUCAAGAAUAAAUGCGUUAAUGUGUUGAAGACAACUGAAAAUCAGCAACGCGAUCUCAAUUUUGGUUUGGGCUCACUUCCAUUCCAUUCCAAAGCUCUUAAAAAAAGCUAUGAAAUUUGUGUUGAUAAAUUGCAGUAAGCUCUCCCGUCAGCCCGAAUGGAUGGAAUUGAUGAAGAACUAUCCGGAACUAUGUCUCGAUAUCACCCAACGCAUCAGCGAUCUUACAUGAACUGUUAUUUUUGUUUUUUUAUUUUCGUAUUAUUUUUCCACUACCAUUAGAAGUGUCAUUCCAAUGAUAAAUGUGAACUCUUAAAUUUGGCUUUCCUAGAUUCUGAAUAAUUUGUUUCGCCCAUAAUAUUGUUUGAUGAUAAUCACAUCCAUGGUAAUCAGUCCGAAAGUUGUUGGAUAUAUAACUAGGUGAAUAGAAAGAGUCGAUUUGUUAGGUGAUAGUA